Molecule: ribosomal RNA, 463 nt
Filed under: uncultured bacterium
Lineage: Bacteria
Description: partial 16S ribosomal RNA
Rfam family: Bacterial small subunit ribosomal RNA
Source: RNAcentral
GACGAACGCUGGCGGCGUGCUUAACACAUGCAAGUCGAACGGUGAACCUCUUCGGAGGGGAUCAGUGGCGAACGGGUGAGUAACACGUGGGCAACCUGCCCCCGGCUCUGGGAUAACUCCAAGAAAUUGGGGCUAAUACCGGAUGUUCACAGCUUCUCGCAUGGGUGGUGGUGGAAAGGGUUUCCGGCUGGGGAUGGGCACGCGGCCUAUCAGCUUGUCGGUGGGGUAGUGGCCUACCAAGGCGACGACGGGUAGGCGGCCUGGGAGGGUGACCGGCCACACUGGGACUGAGACACGGCCCAGACUCCGACGGGAGGCAGUAGGGGGGAAUAUUGCGCAAUGGGCGGAAGCCUGACGCAGCGACGCCGCGUGGGGGAUGACGGCCUUCUGGUUGUAAACCUCUUUCAGCAGGGACGAAGCGCAAGUGACGGUACCUGCAGAAGAAGCACCGGCCAACUACGUG